Molecule: non-coding RNA, 85 nt
Filed under: Marinomonas polaris DSM 16579
Lineage: Bacteria; Pseudomonadati; Pseudomonadota; Gammaproteobacteria; Oceanospirillales; Oceanospirillaceae
Source: RNAcentral
UGUUAUGGUGGGUCUUUGUUGGGCAACCUUCGGGUUGGCCGUUCCUGUGGCGGUAGUUCGAACCCGAUUUAGAUCCACCACCUUA